AAGGAUUUCUCAAUCAAAUGGAAAGAGCUGUGGCUGUUAAGGUCCUCAAACUUGGAACAAGGGGCGCUUCAAAAAGCUUCAUGGCCGAGUGCAAGGUGUUACGCACAGUGAGGCAUCGAAAUCUGGUUAAGCUGCUUACGUAUUGCUCCAGCAUUGAUUACAAACAGAAUGAGUUCAAAGCUCUAGUUUAUGAAUUCAUGGGUAAAGGAAGCUUGGAGAAGUGGUUGUAUCAAGACAUCCACAACAAUUAUCCGUCAAGAAACUUGGAUUUUCUUCAAAGAUUGAAUAUUGCAAUUGAUGUGGCAUCUGCGUUGCAUUAUGUUCAUGACCUUUGCGAAAUUCCAAUAAUUCAUUGUGACUUGAAGCCCAAUAAUGUUCUUCUCGAUGAGGACAUGGUUGCACAUUUAAGCGAUUUCGGUUUGGCUAAACUCUUCUUGAACACCAAUGAUGCUUCACAAACCCAAACUAGCUCAAUUGGAAUAAGGGGGACUAUUGGCUAUGCACCCCCAGAGUAUGGAAUGGGUAACACUGCAUCAAAAGAAGGGGAUGUGUAUAGUUUUGGGAUCCUUGUAUUAGAGAUGUUCUCAGGAAAAAAGCCAACGGACAAAAUAUUUGAAGGCCAUUUAAAUCUGCACAACUUUGUGGAGAAUGCACUGCCAGAAAGACUCGCGCAAAUCACAGAUCCAACCCUUCUCUCAAGAGAAAUGGGCGAAACAUCAACAAAAAAUGCUGAAAUGGACGAGCAGAUAGAAAUACAUGCAAAAGCAGAGUACAACAAUAAUGGGAACCUGAGCCAGACAAGUACUGGUAAAGAGAAAGAUUGCUUGCUUUCAGUAUUCAAAGUUGGAGUAGCCUGUUCAGCAAAAUCACCCAAAGACAGAAUGAGCAUGAGGGAUGUUGCUAAAGAACUGCAUUUGAUUAGAAGUACUUUUCUUGGAGUUCGGAUCUAUGGAUAAAGACAGCAUAUAUUGAAGAAGUGAGAUGGCCCUGGCAGAGAAUAGAUUUAAGCUUCUUGCGCGACUGUAUUUUCUAUGUAACAAAAAUUAAGCAUAGUAUAGUUAGGGCUUGCUUGGUACUACUUGUUAGAUUUUGCUUCUACUAAUAAAUUGAUGUGCUUUAAUUAUCAACAAGCAAAG
This 1136-nucleotide unclassified non-coding RNA is filed under the name Hevea brasiliensis (rubber tree). Lineage: Eukaryota; Viridiplantae; Streptophyta; Magnoliopsida; Malpighiales; Euphorbiaceae. The record is from RNAcentral.